CAAUAGCGUAUAUUUAAGUUGUUGCAGUUAAAAAGCUCGUAGUUGGAUUUCGGAUGGGACUUGCCGGUCCGUCGUUUCGAUGUGCACUGGCCAGUCCUAUCUUGUUGUCGGGGACUAGCUCCUGGGCUUCACUGUCCGGGACUAGGAGCUGACGAGGUUACUUUGAGUAAAUUAGAGUGUUCAAAGCAAGCCUACGCUCUGAAUACAUUAGCAUGGAAUAACACGAUAGGACUCUGGCUUAUCUUGUUGGUCUGUGAGACCAGAGUAAUGAUUAAGAGGGACAGUCGGGGGCAUUCGUAUUUCAUUGUCAGAGGUGAAAUUCUUGGAUUUAUGAAAGACGAACUUCUGCGAAAGUAUUUGUCAAGGAUGUUUUCAUUAA
RNAcentral lists this ribosomal RNA (379 nucleotides) under uncultured eukaryote. Its description in RNAcentral is "partial 18S ribosomal RNA". It matches the Rfam family "Eukaryotic small subunit ribosomal RNA", at positions 592 to 976 of the family's 1831-position model. The record is from RNAcentral.